UAAGCGGAGGAAACCAACAGGGAUUGCCCUAGUAACGGCGAGUGAAGCGGCAACAGCUCAAAUUUGAAACCUGGCGCAAGCCCGGAUUGUAAUUUGCAGAGGAUGCUUCUGGGCAGCGGCCGUUCUAAGUUCCUUGGAACAGGACGUCAUAGAGGGUGAGAAUCCCGUAUGUGACCGGCCCGCACCCUUUACGUAGCUCCUUCGACGAGUCGAGUUGUUUGGGAAUGCAGCUCUAAAUGGGAGGUAAAUUUCUUCUAAAGCUAAAUACCGGCCAGAGACCGAUAGCGCACAAGUAGAGUGAUCGAAAGAUGAAAAGCACUUUGGAAAGAGAGUUAAAAAGCACGUGAAAUUGUUGAAAGGGAAGCGCUCCCAACCAGACUCCGCGGCGGUGUUCCGCCGGUCUUCUGACCGGUCCACUCGCCGCCGUGGGGCCAACAUCGUCUGGGGCCGCCGGAUAAGACCGGAGGAAUGUAGCUCUUUGAGUGUUAUAGCCUCCGGUGAUGCGGCGCGCCCCGGGCGAGGUCCGCGCUUCGGCAAGGAUGUUGGCGUAAUGGUUGGCAGCGGCCCGUCUUGAAACACGGACCAAGGAGUCUAACAUCUAUGCGAGUGUUCGGGUGUCAAACCCCUACGCGUAAUGAAAGUGAACGGAGGUGGGAACCGCAAGGUGCACCAUCGACCGAUCCUGAUGUCCUCGGAUGGAUUUGAGUAAGAGCAUAGCUGUUGGGACCCGAAAGAUGGUGAACUAUGCCUGAAUAGGGUGAAGCCAGAGGAAACUCUGGUGGAGGCUCGCAGCGGUUCUGACGUGCAAAUCGAUCGUCAAAUUUGGGUAUAGGGGCGAAAGACUAAU
Molecule: ribosomal RNA, 847 nt
Filed under: Verrucisporota sp. ZJUM 72
Lineage: Eukaryota; Fungi; Ascomycota; Dothideomycetes; Mycosphaerellales; Mycosphaerellaceae
Description: eukaryotic LSU rRNA
Rfam family: Eukaryotic large subunit ribosomal RNA
Source: RNAcentral